Molecule: long non-coding RNA, 1232 nt
Organism: Panicum hallii
Lineage: Eukaryota; Viridiplantae; Streptophyta; Magnoliopsida; Poales; Poaceae
Exons: 2
Source: RefSeq, a predicted model, not a curated record
AUAGCCUUCCACUCCGCCGCCACCAAAUCCUCUCUCCACCCUUCCCCUCCGCCGCCGGAUCCCCUCCCCGCCUGUCCCCUCCGCCGCCGAGUCCCCUCCCCGUCCUUCUCCUUCUCCGUUGCCGAGUCCCCUCCGCCGCUGAGGCCCCUCCCUGCCUGUCCCCUCCACCGCCGCCGGUCCCCUCCCCGCCCAUCCCCUCCGCGCCACCGGGUUCUCUCCCCGCCCGUCCCCUUUGCCACCCCCGGAUCCCCUCGCCUUUUCCCUCCGCUUCCGCCAGGUUCCCUUCCUGCUCUUCUCCUCCGCCAUCGGGUCUUCGACGUGAGGGGUAGAUGACUCAGAGGCCUCUCGCCACUCCGUUCUCAUCUACACGGAGGUGCUGGCAAGGGGCAAGCCGUUGACGCCGGUCGGCCGGCGAGCCAUUGACUACUCGGUCCACACCGUGUCACGACCCUUGUCCCGUCGCCGUCCAAUCCUGUGGGCAACCAUAGCGAGGGUGUCAUGGUCUAGGGUUUGGGUCAUGGGGCCGCUGGCUGCACCGUCGAUCCCUGGCGCAAAUUGAUGGCCUCAAGAUCACAGAUAAGUGCUCCAAAACUACUAUCAUUGGCCUGCUCUUGUGGUUCAACACUCCUGUCGAUGCCCUGCUCUUGUUGUUCAGUAAAUGGUAGUUCACUGAAAAUCGUUUGAUCUUAUAUACUGUAAAACUGCUAUCUAAAGUUGCACACCGAUCUUGAUAGAUGCUCCUUUGUUAUUAUUUUACCCAUCAUGUGUGUUACUGGCCCAAAAUUGAUGAGAUAUAAAACGAGCUACUAAUUAAAUUGAUCAUAUGCCUGGUCUCUAGCAGUAGCGUUUCUGUUUGGAAGAGAACUUAGCAUAUAUGUUCUUAUCUCAGAUUUAAAUCAUUACACGUCCAGCAGUCCUUUUCCAUAUUUAGUGUUUUUCUACUGAACAACUAAGUCCAUUCAUUCAUCACGAAUUCUUUUGUUGCUGCAGUACAAUGUCUGAAAAAGAGACUAAGCUUUCAUGUAUCCAAUCUGGAGAUAUGAAGCAGAGUAACCUCUUUGCUUGAUUGCUUGCCUGGUGCAACUUUUACAUAUACACAUGUACGUAUGAACGAGGAUAAAUCGUAUUGCUUGACUGCUUGCCUUGUGCAACUUUUGCAUGUGCGUAUGUAUGUGUAUGAAUAUUUGCAUGAACAGAGGAUGAACUGUGAACACGUGACCUAUUUGUUCUCC